CUGGGAAAGACCGGUGCCAGCCGCCGCGGUAAUACCGGCAGCUCAAGUGGUCGUCGCUUUUAUUGGGCCUAAAACGUCCGUAGCCUGUUUGGUAAAUCUGUGGGUAAAUCAACCAGCUUAACUGGUUGAAUUCUGCAGAGACUGCCAGACUAGGGACCGGGAGAGGUGUGGGGUACUCUAGGGGUAGGGGUAAAAUCCUGUCAUCCUUAGAGGACCACCAGUUGCGAAGGCGCCACACUGGAACGGAUCCGACGGUCAGGGACGAAGCCUAGGGGCACGAACCGGAUUAGAUACCCGGGUAGUCCUAGGUGUAAACGCUGUGAACUUGGUGUCGGGGGUCCGCAAUGGGCCCCCGGUGCCGGAGUGAAGAUGUUAAGUUCACUGCCUGGGGAGUACGGUCGCAAGGC
Molecule: ribosomal RNA, 407 nt
Filed under: uncultured archaeon
Lineage: Archaea
Description: bacterial SSU rRNA
Rfam family: Archaeal small subunit ribosomal RNA
Source: RNAcentral